ACGGAAGGUCCGGGCGUUAUCCGGAUUUAUUGGGUUUAAAGGGAGCGUAGGCCGGAGAUUAAGCGUGUUGUGAAAUGUAGACGCUCAACGUCUGCACUGCAGCGCGAACUGGUUUCCUUGAGUACGCACAAAGUGGGCGGAAUUCGUGGUGUAGCGGUGAAAUGCUUAGAUAUCACGAAGAAUUCCGAUUGCGAAGGCAGCUCACUGGAGCGCAACUGACGCUGAAGCUCGAAAGUGCGGGUAUCGAACAG
This 251-nucleotide ribosomal RNA is filed under the name uncultured bacterium. Its description in RNAcentral is "partial 16S ribosomal RNA". It matches the Rfam family "Bacterial small subunit ribosomal RNA", at positions 525 to 775 of the family's 1533-position model. The record is from RNAcentral.